GACGAACGCUGGCGGCGUGCUUAACACAUGCAAGUCGAACGGAAAGGCCCUGCUUUUGUGGGGUGCUCGAGUGGCGAACGGGUGAGUAACACGUGAGUAACCUGCCCUUGACUUUGGGAUAACUUCAGGAAACCGGGGCUAAUACCGGAUAGGAGCUCCUGCUGCAUGGUGGGGGUUGGAAAGUUUCGGCGGUUGGGGAUGGACUCGCGGCUUAUCAGCUUGUUGGUGGGGUAGUGGCUUACCAAGGCUUUGACGGGUAGCCGGCCUGAGAGGGUGACCGGCCACAUUGGGACUGAGAUACGGCCCAGACUCCUACGGGAGGCAGCAGUGGGGAAUAUUGCACAAUGGGCGGAAGCCUGAUGCAGCAACGCCGCGUGCGGGAUGACGGCCUUCGGGUUGUAAACCGCUUUCGCCUGAGACGAAGCGUGAGUGACGGUAAUGGGUAAAGAAGCACCGGCUAACUACGUG
This 468-nucleotide ribosomal RNA is filed under the name uncultured bacterium. Its description in RNAcentral is "partial 16S ribosomal RNA". It matches the Rfam family "Bacterial small subunit ribosomal RNA", at positions 28 to 507 of the family's 1533-position model. The record is from RNAcentral.